RNAcentral lists this ribosomal RNA (803 nucleotides) under uncultured bacterium. RNAcentral's name for it is "bacterial SSU rRNA". It matches the Rfam family "Bacterial small subunit ribosomal RNA", at positions 8 to 916 of the family's 1533-position model. The record is from RNAcentral.
AGAGUUUGAUCCUGGCUCAGGAUGAACGCUAGCUACAGCUAACACAUGCAAGUCGACCGGCGCACGGGUGAGUAACACGUAUCCACCUGCCGCUUACUCGGGGAUAGCUUUCGAAAGAAUUAAUACCCGAUGGUUUGCAUUUAAAGAUCGGUAAGCGAUGGGGAUGCGUUCCAUUAGAUUGUUGGCGGGUAACGGCCACCAAGUCUACGAUGGAUAGGGGUUCUGAAGGAAGGUCCCCCACAUUGGAACUGAGACACGGUCCAAACUCUACGGGAGGCAGCAGUGAGGAAUAUUGGUCAAUGGACGCGAGUCUGAACCAGCCAAGUAGCGUGAAGGAUGACGCUAUGGGUUGUAAACUUCUUUUAUAAGGGGAUACGUUGUAUGUACCUUAUGAAUAAGGAUCGGCUAACUCCGUGCCGCAGCCGCGGUAAUACGGAGGAUCCGAGCGUUAUCCGGAUUUAUUGGGUUUAAAGGGAGCGUAGGUUGACUAUAAGUCAGCUGUGAAAGUUUCGGCUCAACCGGAAAUUGCAGUUGAUACUGUAUUCUUGAGUGUACAAGAGGUGGGCGGAAUCGUGGUGUAGCGGUGAAAUGCUUAGAUAUCAUCAGAACACCGAUUGCGAAGGCAGGUGGCUACGAUUUGUUUGACACUGAGGCACGAAAGCAUGGGGAGCAAACAGGAUUAGAUACCCUGGUAGUCCAUGCUGUAAACGAUGAGGACUCGUUGUUUGACUGAGCGACUAGGGAAACCGUUAAGUCCCCACCUGGGGAGUACGCCGGCAAGGUAAACUCAAAGGAAUUGACGG